AAAUUGAAGAGUUUGAUCAUGGCUCAGAUUGAACGCUGGCGGCAGGCCUAACACAUGCAAGUCGAACGGUAACAGGAAGCAGCUUGCUGCUUUGCUGACGAGUGGCGGACGGGUGAGUAAUGUCUGGGAAACUGCCUGAUGGAGGGGGAUAACUACUGGAAACGGUGGCUAAUACCGCAUAACGUCGCAAGACCAAAGAGGGGGACCUUCGGGCCUCUUGCCAUCAGAUGUGCCCAGAUGGGAUUAGCUAGUUGGUGAGGUAACGGCUCACCAAGGCGACGAUCCCUAGCUGGUCUGAGAGGAUGACCAGCCACACUGGAACUGAGACACGGUCCAGACUCCUACGGGAGGCAGCAGUGGGGAAUAUUGCACAAUGGGCGCAAGCCUGAUGCAGCCAUGCCGCGUGUAUGAAGAAGGCCUUAGGGUUGUAAAGUACUUUCAGCGGGGAGGA
RNAcentral lists this ribosomal RNA (451 nucleotides) under Salmonella enterica subsp. enterica serovar Thompson. RNAcentral's name for it is "partial 16S ribosomal RNA". It matches the Rfam family "Bacterial small subunit ribosomal RNA", at positions 1 to 448 of the family's 1533-position model. RNAcentral also lists the same sequence under 1 other name. The record is from RNAcentral. Lineage: Bacteria; Pseudomonadati; Pseudomonadota; Gammaproteobacteria; Enterobacterales; Enterobacteriaceae.